GAGAAGUCAUGGAGGAGAGGCUGGGCUUUAUGAUGCCAGAAGAAACAGUGCGAGAUAGGACGGGUCGAAGACCUGCCUCCUGCCAGGAGAAAGGGAAUUGGAACGAAGAGUUCAGGUUCCCUGAAGCACGUGCUUUUCCGCCGGCACUGGAGCCGCAGCAACGGCCCUGAGUAAUGAGCAUGUGGCACGGCAGGUAGAGUUACAGACAGUGAGAGAGACAGAGAGAAAGGUCUUCCUUCCAUUGGUUCACUCUCCAAAUGGCCACAACGGCUGGCACUGCACCGAUCCGAAGCCAGGAGCCAGGUGCUUCCUCCUGGCCUCCCAUGUCUGGCACGAUCAUGCAUGGCUUGAGAACCACUUUAGAUGACAUUCAAGGCUGAGUUAUUUCAUCCAGUGAAAUCAUCUUCAGCGAUUCCAGUGGAGGCCCAGGUCCAACAGCUUCACAUAAAUCUUCCUUGAGAAAGACCAGAGGUGGAUGCUUCCUUCCAUGUUCUCAGUGGAUAAUACUGCUCCUGACAGGGGGACGUGGCCAGCAAAGUCUGAUCAGGUGUCCGUAAGUUUUAAAUGAUCAUAUUUCUUCAUGAACUCUCUGCACGGCCCACUACGCGGGAAGCACUAGCUGCUUGAGCUCAUUUUGUAUUCCUCUGGCGUGCGAGUAGCACCUCUGCGGACCUCACUCCAAGUGUUUCUUCAAGAUAAAGCGGAAGUGGGCGUUAGGCACAGAGGUUAAGGCACUGCGUCCCAUGUAGGAGUGUCCAUUUCCAAUACCAGUUUCCUACUAGUGUGCGUUCUGGGGGGCAGUAGGUGGUAGCUCAGGUACUUGGACCCCACAUGGGAGACUCAGGUGGAGUUCUGGGCUCCUAGCUUCCGCCUGGCCACUAGUCCUGACUUUUGUGGAUAUUUGGGGAGUACUCCAGCAGAUGGGAAACCAAUUUCUCUCUCUCUCUCUAUUUCGCUUUCUCUUUCCCUCCCCUUCCCAGAUUUCCAAAUAAAUAAAACUUUUUAAAAAUUAAAAAAUCUCCAUACCUGAAUGUCAAUGAAGUUUCCCUUUUUUUUUUUUU
Molecule: long non-coding RNA, 1061 nt
Organism: Oryctolagus cuniculus (rabbit)
Lineage: Eukaryota; Metazoa; Chordata; Mammalia; Lagomorpha; Leporidae
Source: RefSeq, a predicted model, not a curated record